GUGCCAGCAGCCGCGGUAACACGUAGGCACCAAGCGUUGUCCGGAUUUAUUGGGCGUAAAGAGCUCGUAGGCGGUUCAGUAAGUCGGGUGUGAAAACUCUGGGCUUAACCCGGAGAGGCCACUCGAUACUGCUGAACUUGAGUACGGUAGGGGAGUGGGGAAUUCCUGGUGUAGCGGUGAAAUGCGCAGAUAUCAGGAGGAACACCGGUGGCGAAGGCGCCACUCUGGGCCGAAACUGACGCUGAGGAGCGAAAGCGUGGGUAGCAAACAGGAUUAGAAACCCUUGUAGUCC
This 292-nucleotide ribosomal RNA is filed under the name uncultured bacterium. Its description in RNAcentral is "partial 16S ribosomal RNA". It matches the Rfam family "Bacterial small subunit ribosomal RNA", at positions 505 to 796 of the family's 1533-position model. The record is from RNAcentral.